This 530-nucleotide ribosomal RNA is filed under the name uncultured bacterium. RNAcentral's name for it is "bacterial SSU rRNA". It matches the Rfam family "Bacterial small subunit ribosomal RNA", at positions 980 to 1509 of the family's 1533-position model. The record is from RNAcentral.
UUUGACAUCCAGAGAAUUUAGCAGAGAUGCUUUAGUGCCUUCGGGAACUCUGAGACAGGUGCUGCAUGGCUGUCGUCAGCUCGUGUUGUGAAAUGUUGGGUUAACGUCCGCAACGAGCGCAACCCUUAUCCUUUGUUGCCAGCACGUAAUGGUGGGAACUCAAAGGAGACUGCCGGUGAUAAACCGGAGGAAGGUGGGGAUGACGUCAAGUCAUCAUGGCCCUUACGAGUAGGGCUACACACGUGCUACAAUGGCGUAUACAAAGAGAAGCGACCUCGCGAGAGCAAGCGGACCUCAUAAAGUGCGUCGUAGUCCGGAUUGGAGUCUGCAACUCGACUCCAUGAAGUCGGAAUCGCUAGUAAUCGUAAAUCAGAAUGUUACGGUGAAUACGUUCCCGGGCCUUGUACACACCGCCCGUCACACCAUGGGAGUGGGUUGCAAAAGAAGUAGAUAGCUUAACCUUCGGGAGGGCGUUUACCACUUUGUGAUUCAUGACUGGGGUGAAGUCGUAACAAGGUAAGCGUAGUGCU